AAAAGUACGUGAAAUUGUUGAAAGGGAAGCGCUUGCAACCAGACUUGUCCGCAGUUGCUCAGCCGGUCUCCUGACCGGCGUACUCUUCUGCGGCCAGGCCAGCAUCAGUUCGGGCGGUCGGAUAAAGGCCUCGGGAAUGUGGCUCCUCUCGGGGAGUGUUAUAGCCCGGGGUGCAAUGCGGCCAGCCUGGACUGAGGAACUCGCUUCGGCAAGGAUGCUGGCGUAAUGGUUGUAAGCGGCCCGUCUUGAAACACGGACCAAGA
Molecule: ribosomal RNA, 263 nt
Filed under: Lasiodiplodia theobromae
Lineage: Eukaryota; Fungi; Ascomycota; Dothideomycetes; Botryosphaeriales; Botryosphaeriaceae
Description: partial large subunit ribosomal RNA
Rfam family: Eukaryotic large subunit ribosomal RNA
Source: RNAcentral